Rhinopithecus roxellana (golden snub-nosed monkey) is the source of this 104-nucleotide small nuclear RNA. Lineage: Eukaryota; Metazoa; Chordata; Mammalia; Primates; Cercopithecidae. The record is from RefSeq and is a predicted model, not a curated record.
AUUGAAACAAUUCAAUUCAAUAUAAAAUUGAAACAAUGUCGAGAAGGUCAGCAUGGUCCCUGCACAAGGAUGACAUACAAAUCUGUGAAGUGUUGCAUAUUUCU